CUGCUGCCUUCCGUAGGAGUUUGGGCCGUGUCUCAGUCCCAAUGUGGCCGGUCACCCUCUCAGGUCGGCUACUGAUCGUCGGCUUGGUAGGCCGUUACCCCACCAACUACCUAAUCAGACGCGGGUCCAUCUCAUACCGUCAAGGCUUUGGCCCCUGUGCCAUGCGGCACUGUGGUCUUAUGCGGUAUUAGCAGUCAUUUCUAACUGUUAUCCCCCUGUAUGAGGCAGGUUACCCACGCGUUACUCACCCGUCCGCCA
RNAcentral lists this ribosomal RNA (258 nucleotides) under uncultured bacterium. RNAcentral's name for it is "partial 16S ribosomal RNA". The record is from RNAcentral.